GACGAACGCUGGCGGCGUGCUUAACACAUGCAAGUCGAACGGAAAGGCCCUGCUUUUGUGGGGUGCUCGAGUGGCGAACGGGUGAGUAACACGUGAGUAACCUGCCCUUGAUUUGGGAUAACUUCAGGAAACUGGGGCUAAUACCGGAUAGGAGCUCCUGCUGCAUGGUGGGGGUUGGAAAGUUUCGGCGGUUGGGGAUGGACUCGCGGCUUAUCAGCUUGUUGGUGGGGUAGUGGCUUACCAAGGCUUUGACGGGUAGCCGGCCUGAGAGGGUGACCGGCCACAUUGGGACUGAGAUACGGCCCAGACUCCUUCGGGAGGCAGCAGUGGGGAAUAUUGCACAAUGGGCGGAAGCCUGAUGCAGCAACGCCGCGUGCGGGAUGACGGCCUUCGGGUUGUAAACCGCUUUCGCCUGUGACGAAGCGUGAGUGACGGUAAUGGGUAAAGAAGCACCGGCUAACUACGUG
Molecule: ribosomal RNA, 467 nt
Filed under: uncultured bacterium
Lineage: Bacteria
Description: partial 16S ribosomal RNA
Rfam family: Bacterial small subunit ribosomal RNA
Source: RNAcentral